Molecule: long non-coding RNA, 914 nt
Filed under: Homo sapiens (human)
Lineage: Eukaryota; Metazoa; Chordata; Mammalia; Primates; Hominidae
Description: DIO3 opposite strand upstream RNA
Source: RNAcentral
AGUCCCGGCCAGCCGCGCGUGCGGGGAGGUCAGGGAGGACUCUCCCAGGCGCCGGGCCGCGUCCCUGCCGCGAUCUCCUUUGCUUCCUGGCGGUUUCGGGAUGAGAAGGAGCGUUCGCGGAGAGUGGAUUUCAGGAUUCCUCUAAGAAGCUUUGGAAUGCCAGAAGAUACCACAAGUGAGAAGAAAAAAUAAAACAAGAGGAAGGAUAUACUUCCCAUAAGGGGACAAAGUACAGCCGCAGUGUCCUCCGCUUGGGCCAUGGAACAGCUGCAGGUUUUGCCCUGAUUACCCUGGUGGUAAAGUCUGAUUGGCUAUGAUUCCCGGUGUCCAGAAGAUAAACACGGGCGGUGCAGCGGAGCCACACGCAUGCCUGUGCAUGGCCACGCCAGGUGUCCUACGGGCCUGAUGGAAAGGUGGCAGGCGAAAUGCACCUGGCCUCAGCGUCAGGGGCUGUGAAUGCAGUAGCACUUGUAGCUAUGAGGUCAGAGUGGACUAGGAUGGUCCUUCCACCAAGAAGCCUGGGCCUUCCUGCUCUUCGUUGUCCAGCUGCAGAAACUGAUCUCAUCCCUCAGGGCUUGGCACAACUGCCCCUUCCUCCUCACAUUCCCAAAUAUACCUACCCCUCCCCAACUCAAUCCUCCUCACCAGACUGUGGCUCCAGGAUGACAGGGCAGAGUUGGACUCACCUGUGUCUGCCAGGCCAGCUCACCGUGGGGGCAGGUCCCAAGAGGCCUCUGGAUUUGGACCAACUUCCAGUGUGACCUUGAACAAGGCCUUCGCCUCCCUCAGCCUCCGUUGCAUGAGGGGUUGUGCUGGCACAUCUCAGAGCAGGUAGCGCUACCUGGUGAGUUGAGGGCUCUGUCCAUCAUCUUUGUCACUGUAAUGCUGGGUAACAAAUAAACACGAAACAAUGA